CCUACCCUAACUUACUUGGGACGAAAAGGCUUUGCUGCUGUUUUAUUGAGAUGACAUUAACUUUGGUUCUGCGGGAUCUUAUAGACUACUACAAUUCUUCCACCAUAAUAGAUUGGACUGGAAGGGCUACAACCUUCAAAGCAACAACAGGUAUUGCAGAUGGUUUGGCAUCAACGCUAUACAAUUCUGCCCCCCAGGUUGCGAUGUUCUCUUCUCGAUGACCCGAUGUUAAAGAUUUUAGCUUUCAAGAUGUUGAUGUCCUUAAACUUAAACCAGACAUACUUGCUCCUGGCAAUCUCAUAUGGGCUGCAUGGGCGCCUAAUGGAACGGAUGAAUCAAACUAUGCUGGUGAAGGAUUUGCAAUGGUUUCUGGAACUAGCAUGGCCACACCGCAUAUCGCUGGCAUUGCAGCACUAAUAAAGCAGAAGAACCCAAAGUGGAGCCCCUCAGCAAUAAAAUUUGCCAUGAUGACAACGGCCAAUACACUGGACAAAGGGAGCCAUCCUCUCAGAGCACAGCAGUACACUGCAUCGGAAAUGAUGACACUUUCUCGGGCCACACCGUUUGAUUGUGGUAGUGGCGCUGUUAACCCAAAAGCUGCCCUUUAACAGUUAUAAUUACCCAGAGACACUGUGCCGGAUGUAUAUAAUUAAUGCUGGCCAAGGCUUCAAGAUGUUAUGGAGCACAAUAAAAUCAUUCCUCGGUCCAAAAACUGCUUCCAAGAUCCAUGUUCUUGGGAAUAAGUAGCAACAUAAGUUGCUCGAAAUAAUUGACGAGUGUGAACUGCCAGAAUUUCUUGGUGGCAAAUGCAAUUGUAUUGAAGGUUGCCAAAGAUCUGACAAAGGUCCUUGGAAGGAUCCCAACAUAAUAAAGAGUCCUCAAUGACGAGGCAAACUACGACAGACAAAUUGUGACCAUAUCCAGCAUUGAUGGAAAAAUAAUACGUUAUGCUAGGCCAGAUCACUCAACUAGAAAAGUGAGUGAUGCAUCUGCCGAGUCUGGAUCUGAAGUGGAAGAUGUAACAUCUCCUACUGCAUCAAGGAACCUGAUUACACAUCCUAUUUUGACCCAUGUUCACGAGGAG
Molecule: RNA transcript, 1084 nt
Organism: Zea mays
Lineage: Eukaryota; Viridiplantae; Streptophyta; Magnoliopsida; Poales; Poaceae
Gene name: subtilisin pseudogene
Exons: 7
Source: RefSeq, marked validated